UACGAAGGGGGCUAGCGUUGUUCGGAAUUACUGGGCGUAAAGCGCACGUAGGCGGAUUUGCCAGUCAGGGGUGAAAUCCCGGGGCUCAACCUCGGAACUGCCUCUGAUACAGCAAGUCUUGAGUCCGGAAGAGGUGGGUGGAAUUCCUAGUGUAGAGGUGAAAUUCGUAGAUAUUGGGAAGAACACCAGUGGCGAAGGCGGCUAACUGGUCCAGAUCUGACGCUGAGGUGCGAAAGCGUGGGGAGCAAACAGG
This 253-nucleotide ribosomal RNA is filed under the name uncultured bacterium. RNAcentral describes it as "partial 16S ribosomal RNA". It matches the Rfam family "Bacterial small subunit ribosomal RNA", at positions 524 to 776 of the family's 1533-position model. The record is from RNAcentral.